AUUGAACGCUGGCGGCAUGCCUAACACAUGCAAGUCGAACGGUUUAUGGAGCUUGCUCCAUAGAUAGUGGCGGACGGGUGAGUAAUAUGUAGGAAUCUGCCUUGAGGAGGGGGAUAACUUGGGGAAACUCAAGCUAAUACCGCGUAAGUCGGAGACGAGAAAGCAGGGGACCGAAAGGCCUUGCGCCUUAAGAUGAGCCUACAUCGGAUUAGCUAGUUGGUGGGGUAACGGCCUACCAAGGCGAUGAUCCGUAGCUGGUCUGAGAGGAUGACCAGCCACACUGGGACUGAGAAACGGCCCAGACUCCUACGGGAGGCAGCAGUGGGGAAUAUUGGACAAUGGGGGAAACCCUGAUCCAGCAAUGCCGCGUGUGUGAAGAAGGCCUUCGGGUUGUAAAGCACUUUCAGUGGGGAAGAAGGAUGUAUGGUUAAUACCCAUGCAUUUUGACGUUAACCACAGAAGAAGCACCGGCUAACUCUGUGCCAGCCGCCGCGGUAA
Molecule: ribosomal RNA, 498 nt
Filed under: uncultured bacterium
Lineage: Bacteria
Description: partial 16S ribosomal RNA
Rfam family: Bacterial small subunit ribosomal RNA
Source: RNAcentral